RNAcentral lists this transfer RNA (77 nucleotides) under Clostridiaceae bacterium. Its description in RNAcentral is "tRNA-Pro". It matches the Rfam family "tRNA". From Rfam's summary of the family: Transfer RNA (tRNA) molecules are approximately 80 nucleotides in length. Their secondary structure includes four short double-helical elements and three loops (D, anti-codon, and T loops). The record is from RNAcentral. Lineage: Bacteria; Bacillati; Bacillota; Clostridia; Eubacteriales; Clostridiaceae.
CGGGGUGUAGUUCAGGUUGGUAGAAUGCAUGGUUUGGGACCAUGAGGUCGCACGUUCGAGUCGUGUCACCCCGACCA